RNAcentral lists this unclassified non-coding RNA (314 nucleotides) under plant metagenome. RNAcentral describes it as "partial contains 5.8S ribosomal RNA, internal transcribed spacer 2, and large subunit ribosomal RNA". The stretch from base 1 to 105 matches the Rfam family "5.8S ribosomal RNA", at positions 50 to 154 of the family's 154-position model. The record is from RNAcentral.
GAAAUGCGAUAAUUAAUGUGAAUUGCAGAAUUCAGUGAAUCAUCGAGUCUUUGAACGCACAUUGCGCCCCCUGGUAUUCCGGGGGGCAUGCCUGUCCGAGCGUCAUUGCUGCCCUCAAGCACGGCUUGUGUGUUGGGCUUCCGUCCCUGGCAACGGGGACGGGCCCAAAAGGCAGUGGCGGCUCCAUGUCUGGUCCUCGAGCGUAUGGGGCUUUGUCACCCGCUCCCGUAGGUCCAGCUGGCAGCUAGCCUCGCAACCAAUCUUUUUAACCAGGUUGACCUCGGAUCAGGUAGGGAUACCCGCUGAACUUAAGC